Molecule: ribosomal RNA, 780 nt
Filed under: uncultured bacterium
Lineage: Bacteria
Description: bacterial SSU rRNA
Rfam family: Bacterial small subunit ribosomal RNA
Source: RNAcentral
UAACUCUAGUGGCGGACGGGUGAGUAACACGUGAGAAUUUGCCUUUAGGAGGGGGACAACAAUUGGAAACGAAUGCUAAUACCCCAUAUGCUUUCACGAGUAAAAUGGAUUUUAUUAUCUGCCUAAAGAGAAGCUCGCGGCUGAUUAGCUUGUUGGUAAGGUAAAAGCUUACCAAGGCGACGAUCAGUAUCUGGUUUGAGAGGACGAUCAGACACACUGGAACUGAGACACGGUCCAGACUCCUACGGGAGGCAGCAGUGGGGAAUUUUCCGCAAUGGGCGAAAGCCUGACGGAGCAAUACCGCGUGAGGGAAGACUGCCUAUGGGUUGUAAACCUCUUUUUUCAGGGAGGAAUAAAAUGACGUGUACCUGAAGAAUAAGCAUCGGCUAACUCCGUGCCAGCAGCCGCGGUAAGACGGAGGAUGCAAGUGUUAUCCGGAAUCACUGGGCGUAAAGCGUCUGUAGGUGGUUUAAUAAGUCAACUGUUAAAUCUUGAGGCUCAACUUCAAAACUGCAGUCGAAACUAUUAGACUAGAGUAUAGUAGAGGUAAAGGGAAUUUCCAGUGGAGCGGUGAAAUGCGUAGAGAUUGGAAAGAACACCGAUGGCGAAAGCACUUUACUGGGCUAUUACUAACACUCAGAGACGAAAGCUAGGGUAGCAAAUGGGAUUAGAUACCCCAGUAGUCCUAGCUGUAAACAAUGGAUACUAGAUGUUGAACAGAUCGACCUGUGCAGUAUCAAAGCUAACGCGUUAAGUAUCCCGCCUGGGAAGUAUGCUCGC